GGAUAAUCUGCCCUAAGGUCAGGCAUAACUCCGGGAAGCUGGUGAUAAUUCCUGAUAUACCAUAGAUACUGGAAUGUUCUGUGGUCAAAAGCUCCGGCGCCUUAGGAUGAAUCUGCGGCCUAUCAGGUUGUAGUGGGUGUAGUGUACCUACUAGCCGACGACGGGUACGGGUUGUGAGAGCAAGAGCCCGGAGAUGGAUUCUGAGACAUGAAUCCAGGCCCUACGGGGCGCAGCAGGCGCGAAAACUUUACAAUGCGGGAAACCGCGAUAAGGGGACACUGAGUGCCAGCACCAUGUGUUGGCUGUCCGCAUGUAUAAAUAACAUGUGUUAGCAAGGGCCGGGCAAGACCGGUGCCAGCCGCCGCGGUAACACCGGCGGCCCGAGUGGUGGCCAUUAUUAUUGGGUCUAAAGGGUCCGUAGCCGGUUUGAUCAGUCUUCCGGGAAAUCUGACAGCUCAACUGUUAGGCUUCUGGGGGAUACUGUCAGACUUGGAACCGGGAGAGGUAAGAGGUACUACAGGGGUAGGAGUGAAAUCUUGUAAUCCUUGUGGGACCACCAGUGGCGAAGGCGUCUUACCAGAACGGGUUCGACGGUGAGGGACGAAAGCUGGGGGCACGAACCGGAUUAGAUACCCGGGUAGUCCCAGCCGUAAACGAUGCUCGCUAGGUGUCUGGGACGGUGCGACCGUUUCAGGUGCCGCAGGGAAGCCGUGAAGCGAGCCACCUGGGAAGUACGGCCGCAAGGCUGAAACUUAA
Molecule: ribosomal RNA, 756 nt
Filed under: Methanolobus sp. enrichment culture clone A3-21
Lineage: Archaea; Methanobacteriati; Methanobacteriota; Methanomicrobia; Methanosarcinales; Methanosarcinaceae
Description: bacterial SSU rRNA
Rfam family: Archaeal small subunit ribosomal RNA
Source: RNAcentral